UGGGGAAUAUUGGACAAUGGGCGCAAGCCUGAUCCAGCAAUGCCGCGUGUGUGAAGAAGGCCUUCGGGUUGUAAAGCACUUUUAUCAGGAGCGAAACGCUGUCGGCUAAUACCCGGCGGAACUGACGGUACCUGAGGAAUAAGCACCGGCUAACUUCGUGCCAGCAGCCGCGGUAAUACGAAGGGUGCAAGCGUUAAUCGGAAUUACUGGGCGUAAAGCGUGCGUAGGCGGUUUCUUAAGUCUGCUGUGAAAUCCCCGGGCUCAACCUGGGAAUGGCAGUGGAUACUGGGAGGCUAGAGUGUGUCAGAGGGUGGUGGAAUUCCCGGUGUAGCGGUGAAAUGCGUAGAGAUCGGGAGGAACAUCAGUGGCGAAGGCGGCCACCUGGGACAACACUGACGCUGAGGCACGAAAGCGUGGGGAGCAAACAGGAUUAGAUACCCUGGUAGUCCACGCCCUAAACGAUGCGAACUGGAUGUUGGUCUCAACUCGGAGAUCAGUGUCGAAGCUAACGCGUUAAGUUCGCCGCCUGGGGAGUACGGUCGCAAGACUGGAAACUCAAAUGAAUUGACGGGGUCAUAGCUGUUUCCUG
RNAcentral lists this ribosomal RNA (589 nucleotides) under uncultured bacterium. Its description in RNAcentral is "partial 16S ribosomal RNA". It matches the Rfam family "Bacterial small subunit ribosomal RNA", at positions 355 to 1376 of the family's 1533-position model. The record is from RNAcentral.